RNAcentral lists this ribosomal RNA (659 nucleotides) under Attalus subopacus. RNAcentral describes it as "partial 28S large subunit ribosomal RNA". It matches the Rfam family "Eukaryotic large subunit ribosomal RNA", at positions 658 to 1270 of the family's 3401-position model. Lineage: Eukaryota; Metazoa; Arthropoda; Insecta; Coleoptera; Melyridae. The record is from RNAcentral.
AACACGGACCAAGGAGUCUAGCAUGUGCGCGAGUCAUUGGGACAUAACUAAACCUAAAGGCGCAAUGAAAGUAAAAGUCCGCCUUGCGCGGACUGAGGGAAGAUGGGCGCAGGUCGUAACAAGCCUCGUCCCGCAUUCCCGGGGCGUCUCGUUCUCAUUGCGAGAAGAGGCGCACCAAGAGCGUACACGCUGGGACCCGAAAGAUGGUGAACUAUGCCUGGUCAGGACGAAGUCAGGGGAAACCCUGAUGGAGGUCCGUAGCGAUUCUGACGUGCAAAUCGAUCGUCGGAACUGGGUAUAGGGGCGAAAGACUAAUCGAACCAUCUAGUAGCUGGUUCCCUCCGAAGUUUCCCUCAGGAUAGCUGGCGCUCGUAACGAACGAGUCUCAUCCGGUAAAGCGAAUGAUUAGAGGCAUUGGGGCCGAAACGGCCUCAACCUAUUCUCAAACUUUAAAUGGGUGAGAUCUCCGGCUUGCUCGAACCGAUGAAGCCGCGAGAUACGGAUCAGAGUGCCAAGUGGGCCAUUUUUGGUAAGCAGAACUGGCGCUGUGGGAUGAACCAAACGUUGAGUUAAAGCGCCCAAAUCGACGCUUAUGGGACACCAUGAAAGGCGUUGGUAACUUAAGACAGCAGGACGGUGGCCAUGGAAGUCGGAAUCCG